AAAAGGUCUUUCACUUCUGUUUUCUUGCCUCUUGAGUGUCUUGUUGCAGGACUAGGAAAGCAUCACCAUAAUAAUGCCUUGCUAUAGGGAAACUCUUCUCUAGUGAUUUAAGUUGUUCCUGGGCAUUUGUGGAAUCUAGAUAUCCUUACAUAAAUCAGGAUGUGAUCUUUGAGUAAAAUAAAUAAAUCUAUGGGGGAAAGGGGAGGUGGGGAAGUGGAAGGAAGUAGUGACUAAUAUGUUUAUAUUUUGGGGAUCAUUAUAAUAAGUGUAAUGUAAUUAUUCCAGUUUUACAGAUGGAGGAACUGAGGCUAAGAAAACUACAUGUCUUGUGAGGUGACAUAAGUGUUUAGUGACAGAAUUGCUCUUUCCUGCUCCUAUCUAAAGAGUUCCUCAAUGUGCAUCUCCCUGCGUUCUGAAUUAACUCCAGUUUCGCGGAACGGACGAACAAGGCCAUUUCUGGUCGUUUUUCCCUGUUCUGUCGAAUCCCAAGUGCCCCUGAAUGCAGCCCAUUGGUUUUGGGAUGUGGAGAGCCAUAUGUGCAGCCCCACUUCUCUAAGGUAAGUUGCUGUACCAAGGUUAAAGCGUACAGCACCCAUGUGGCAAAGAGCUUCUGUAGCCACAGCUUUAGGUGGCACUUGAGUACAUUAGGAAGCAGGAAGGCCUGUGAGCUACAAAGGGCUCUGUCUGCGAGGAUGAUGCCGUGAUGUCUGGCAGCGUUCACCAGCCAUGCAGUGAGGUCACUUCUAAAAGUAUCGCGUUGCAGCGCCGAGCUUCCUGGCGUGAUGGCAGGCAGCUCUCGUGAACCUCGGCCGCUCCUCAGCAGCCAUGGUUAUUCUUAGAGACACUUCCCAUUCCUCAGGAAAAGCUACUGUGAGAGGCUUAGCUGGCUUUUAUCUUUAGAAGCGAGUAUUUAAAUGUUGGACUAAUUUGUAGCUCAUUCGCAGCUCAGCUGCAGCCCUGCCAGCUGCGCUGGGAUCAGUGACAAGUCUUUCUUCCGCCUCCAAAGCGCACUUGCAGACAGAUCCAGGGCCUAGGAGCACAUUGCCCCAGAGGCAACUCGGCUUUCUCACAAGCGUGUAGCUGCCUGGGGGAGUUUUCCAGAACAAGUAGCAUAUUAGGCUUUCC
This 1125-nucleotide long non-coding RNA is filed under the name Anas platyrhynchos platyrhynchos (common mallard). Its description in RNAcentral is "lncRNA (ENSAPLG00000025767.1)". Lineage: Eukaryota; Metazoa; Chordata; Aves; Anseriformes; Anatidae. The record is from RNAcentral.